Molecule: ribosomal RNA, 428 nt
Filed under: uncultured bacterium
Lineage: Bacteria
Description: partial 16S ribosomal RNA
Rfam family: Bacterial small subunit ribosomal RNA
Source: RNAcentral
GUCGAGAAUCUUCCGCAAUGCGCGAAAGCGUGACGGAGCGACACCACGUGAUGGAUGAAGUCCUUCGGGGCGUAAACAUCUUUUAUAAAGGAGGAAAUUUUUGACGUUACUUUAUGAAUAAGGGGCUCCCAAUCUCGUGCCAGCAGGAGCGGUAAUACGAGAGCCUCAAGCGUUAUCCGGAAUCAUUGGGCGUAAAGGGUGCGUAGGUGGUUUGAUUAGUCUCCCGUUAAAACUUCGAGCUUAACUCGAAAAGAGCGGGGGAAACGGUCAAACUAGAGUAUGUGAGAGGUGUGUGGAACUCAUGGUGUAGGGGUGAAAUCCGUUGAUAUCAUGGGGAACACCAAAAGCGAAGGCAGCACACUGGCACAUCACUGACACUGAGGCACGAAACCUAAGGUAGCGAAUGGGAUUAGAAACCCGGGUAGUCC